UACGUAGGGUGCAAGCGUUAAUCGGAAUUACUGGGCGUAAAGCGUGCGCAGGCGGCUUUGCAAGACAGAUGUGAAAUCCCCGGGCUUAACCUGGGAACUGCAUUUGUGACUGCAUGGCUAGAGUGCGGCAGAGGGGGAUGGAAUUCCGCGUGUAGCAGUGGAAUGCGUAGAUAUGCGGAGGAACACCGAUGGCGAAGGCAAUCCCCUGGGCCUGCACUGACGCUCAUGCACGAAAGCGUGGGGAGCAAACAGG
This 253-nucleotide ribosomal RNA is filed under the name uncultured bacterium. RNAcentral describes it as "partial 16S ribosomal RNA". It matches the Rfam family "Bacterial small subunit ribosomal RNA", at positions 524 to 776 of the family's 1533-position model. The record is from RNAcentral.